RNAcentral lists this unclassified non-coding RNA (430 nucleotides) under Hevea brasiliensis (rubber tree). Lineage: Eukaryota; Viridiplantae; Streptophyta; Magnoliopsida; Malpighiales; Euphorbiaceae. The record is from RNAcentral.
GUCCAGCACACAAACUACAAAGAGGGUACAAAAAUAAACAAAAGAAAGGGACCCCAUUUCCCAUAAAUCAGUUCAUCUGUCAUUUUUACCUAUGCAUUAUGUAUUUUUGUUGGUAAGUAGUAUUUGUAUUGAUGAUGGCAAUAAUCUUGAGGAGAUCUUCCUUACAAAUCUUUUUCUUCUGUUGUGUUUUUGGCUAUACAGCUAGAGAGGGCUUUUACUACCUUGUAUGUAAAGCUAGCAACCUUUCGAGUUAAUCCCCUUCCCUCGUUAACGAUGAUCAACUGGAACAACACUUAAGUUUCAGUGGCUUCUUGGCCAGAUGUAAACCUUGGAACCUGAAAGUAACAUGAUUUGAGAGAAGCCAUGUUGAAGGCAGAAGUGGUGGGAAGCAUAGGGAUAUUGUUCAUAGUAGUAGUAGUAGUAGUAGCAG